CUUUUUUCAGGGUUUAGGGGAGUAAUAUCAGAAGGCCAACACAAAAUUAUAUUUUUGUGGCGCUCCACUUAGCUUUUCAUUUCAUAAUGCAUUAGACAUUACAUGUUUUGUAAUUUUAAUAAUUUAUUUUCUUAUGAUGCGUCAGCACAUUCAAAGUUAUAACUGCUGACAGCCACACACACAACUCAUUACCCUAUACAAUUUUCGAGAAAUGCUUUAGAAGUAAAUCAUUUGAAAUUAAAUUUAGCUACUUACAUGUAUAAUCCACUAUAACUGCUAGAUUCAGAUAAUUUGAAAAUUUUAGUUAAUGCAAAUAGAGAAUAUUAUCUUGCAAAUCUUUUUCUUUUGUUUUAGUCAAAUCUUGCAAAUCUUGUUGUGUUAAUUACUGUAAGAAUCAUAGAACAAAAAUUCAAAAACAUUAGAUUGUUUUGGUCCAUCCGGUACAACAUUUCAAUUAUUUUAUAACCUGGUUUGAAAAAAAUAUUUGAUAAAUAUAAACUUUUAACAAACUUCUUUGAUGAGUUAUAUACUAGAAAACAUGUAAAACAAUCUUUAAUACUUUUAGUUAGUUUAUUUCAUUUAAACUAUUUUUUUUCAAAACUGAAUACUAUAACUAUCAAUUAAAAACUUUAUACUAGUGGAAUUGUGAUGUGGACUCCUCCUGAGUAUAAGGAGAUUACUCAUAUUCAAACAAAAAGCACGCAGGUAUUUUUCAUAAAGAAUCUAAAAAAUCGAAAAGGUUGUAAGAGCAAGAAAAAUAAAUUUAGACCAAAAAAAAAUAAAAAUAAAUGUAAAACUGUAAAUGUUGGCCGUCUCGCUUUGGUCCUCUUGUGCAUUGGUUCAGAAGACGUGUAAGUGGGCCUCUAAAGUUGCUCCACACCACAUUGAGAAUGCAAGAUGAGACUGAAAUUGACAUGAUGACAAGCGCAUCAUAGCAAUGUACAGAAAGAUACCUAGCUACAAAAGAUAAUUGUAGGAAGAAAUACUGGAUGUAUAAGAAGAUUUGAAGAUGAGUGAGAAGCAUUUUGUGCUUGUGGAUGGUGCCGGGCAUGGAAUCAGAAACAAGACAUUGAUGCUAUCACCUGGUGCUUACUCUUGGACCAUGCCAUUGCCAAAUUUUAGACACCCACUACUAUUUCAGGCACCCACUACCUUUUCUUUUAUGUAAAUCUAACUGUAGAAAGCUGGGAGACUAAACACAAACCCAAAGAAUUAGAGAUGUAACUUAGUUCAUAUGUUAAACGGCCACCGUUUUUUUUUAUAGAUUUGAACUGUAAAGGCAGAGAGAGAUUAAAGAAACACAAACAUGUGUGAAGUUGAGCUUCAUAAAUUAAAGAUGCAACUUAGCUCAUACAUUAAACAGGCAACUUCAUGUCCACUAAGAAAACACUGGAAUUUCAACAACACGCAUAAUCUGAUUCCCAUCUUCGCUUUCUACUCACUUGUAGAACUCAAAGUCCGUGUCUGGCUUCUUCACAUUUGAGCGGUAACCCUUCUCGAAAUCCUUGGGCAGUAUCACAUAUCUGUUCUUAC
Molecule: long non-coding RNA, 1533 nt
Organism: Brassica rapa (field mustard)
Lineage: Eukaryota; Viridiplantae; Streptophyta; Magnoliopsida; Brassicales; Brassicaceae
Source: RefSeq, a predicted model, not a curated record